Molecule: ribosomal RNA, 520 nt
Filed under: uncultured Paraglomus
Lineage: Eukaryota; Fungi; Glomeromycota; Glomeromycetes; Paraglomerales; Paraglomeraceae
Description: bacterial SSU rRNA
Rfam family: Eukaryotic small subunit ribosomal RNA
Source: RNAcentral
AGCAGCCGCGGUAAUUCCAGCUCCAAUAGCGUAUAUUAAAGUUGUUGCAGUUAAAAAGCUCGUAGUUGAAUUUCAGGCCUGGCUGGACGGUCCGCCCUCUGGGUGAGCACUGUCUGUGGUCGGGUCCUACCUUCUGGCGAAGCGGCAUGGCCUUAACCGGCCGUGGCGGGGAACCAGGACUUUUACUGUGAAAAAAUUGAGUGUUCAAAGCAGGCACGCGCUUGAAUACAUUAGCAUGGAAUAAUGGAAUAGGACAAUGGUUCUAUUUGUUGGUUUCUAGGGACCGUUGUAAUGAUUUAAUAGGGAUAGUUGGGGGCAUUAGUAUUCAAUUGUCAGAGGUGAAAUUCUUGGAUUUAUUGAAGUACUAACUACUGCGAAAGCAUUUGCCAAGGAUGUUUCAUUAAUCAAGAACGAAGUUAGGGAUACGAAGACGAUCAGAUACCGUCGUAGUCUUAACCAUAAACUAUAGACCGACUAGGGAUCGGAUGAUGUUAAUUUUUAUGUACUCAUUCGGCGUACC